The sequence is a transfer RNA, 72 nucleotides long. It matches the Rfam family "tRNA". Rfam says of the family: Transfer RNA (tRNA) molecules are approximately 80 nucleotides in length. Their secondary structure includes four short double-helical elements and three loops (D, anti-codon, and T loops). The record is from Rfam.
GCCAUCGUAGUAUAGUGGUUAGUACAGAUCGUUGUGGCCGAUCAGACCCAGGUUCGAUUCCAGGCGAUGGCA